This 72-nucleotide transfer RNA is filed under the name Thymallus arcticus (Arctic grayling). RNAcentral describes it as "tRNA-Val". It matches the Rfam family "tRNA". From Rfam's summary of the family: Transfer RNA (tRNA) molecules are approximately 80 nucleotides in length. Their secondary structure includes four short double-helical elements and three loops (D, anti-codon, and T loops). Lineage: Eukaryota; Metazoa; Chordata; Actinopteri; Salmoniformes; Salmonidae. The record is from RNAcentral.
CAGAGUGUAGCUAAGAUAGAAAAGCACCUCCCUUACACUGAGAAGACAUCCGUGCAAAUCGGGUCACCCUGA